GUUCAGCCUUCGAGUCGAGAAGUCCUCCUCUCCCUUCGACUCCUCCUCAAGGAUUCCAGAGUGCCUUGGAGAUGAGAAUCCACAGAGGUGGCUUCAUGGGAUGUCCUGAUCAAGUACUGAAAUGGAUGUAAUUGAAUUCCUUAAUUAUGAGAGCGAUACUGCAUUGAUACUGGCCCACUCUCUGGCUGAGCAGGAGCGACAACCUACAUUCAGCGCAGCGGCGACCUGCAUGAGGGCGCCCACGUAGGCGUCGCGGCAGGUCUCCUCCAGGGGAGCAGGUCCCUCAGGGGGCUGAGGGGACCACG
This 305-nucleotide long non-coding RNA is filed under the name Penaeus japonicus. RNAcentral's name for it is "uncharacterized LOC122266472". The record is from RNAcentral. Lineage: Eukaryota; Metazoa; Arthropoda; Malacostraca; Decapoda; Penaeidae.